AUAGUUUACCUGGCAGGGGAAAUACCAUGAUCCAUUCGGCCUUGAAUGGCUCAGGGUAGUUAGGUGAGGGCCUAUCCCUUGCACUGUGGGCAGACAGACCUACAAAUGCUUUCAAAUGCAAGGAUCUUGGCUAUGCAAUUUAUGGCGAUGGGGGAUUGCUCUUGGGCUGUCCCUCU
This 176-nucleotide small nuclear RNA is filed under the name Crocodylus porosus (Australian saltwater crocodile). Its description in RNAcentral is "U1 spliceosomal RNA (ENSCPRG00005005628.1)". It matches the Rfam family "U1 spliceosomal RNA". Rfam says of the family: U1 is a small nuclear RNA (snRNA) component of the spliceosome (involved in pre-mRNA splicing). The record is from RNAcentral. Lineage: Eukaryota; Metazoa; Chordata; Crocodylia; Crocodylidae.